CCUACGGGUGGCUGCAGUGAGGAAUCUUGGUCAAUGGGCGCAAGCCUGAACCAGCCAAGUCGCGUGAGUGAUGACGGUCCUAUGGAUUGUAAACCUCUUUUGUCGGGGAGCAAGGCCCGCCACGUGUGGCGGGAAGGAGAGUACCCGAAGAAAAAGCAUCGGCUAACUCCGUGCCAGCAGCCGCGGUAAUACGGAGGAUGCGAGCGUUAUCCGGAUUUAUUGGGUUUACAGGGUGCGCAGGCGGGAGAUCAAGUCAGCGGUAAAAUGUCGGGGCUCAACCCCGGCCGGCCGUUGAAACUGGUUUGCUAGAGUUGGAGAGAAGUAUGUGGAAUUCGUGGUGUAGCGGUGAAAUGCAUAGAUAUCACGAAGAACUCCGAUUGCGAAGGCAGCAUACCGGCUCCAUACUGACGCUGAGGCACGAAAGCGUGGGGAUCGAACAGGAUUAGAUACCCCUGUAGUC
RNAcentral lists this ribosomal RNA (460 nucleotides) under uncultured bacterium. RNAcentral's name for it is "partial 16S ribosomal RNA". It matches the Rfam family "Bacterial small subunit ribosomal RNA", at positions 338 to 795 of the family's 1533-position model. The record is from RNAcentral.